GGAUUUUUGAGCUUUCCAGUCAGGUGAGUAAAAUGUCAGCUCAAAUAGAAAAGUUGCAGACAGAAGUUGAAGAAAAAUCUAUGCAAAUACAGAGACAAGAAGAGCUUGCCAAAGAAAAUCACCUGUACUUGUCGCAGAAAAUUAUAAUCCUCGAAGCCGAGAUUGAAAAUCUUCUAACAGACAAGAAAAUAUCUUCUGAUCAUGAAGAACAGAAGAACAGCCUGAUGGCUGAGUUAGAUAAAAUGAGGACAUCAAUUAAAGACAUGGAAUUGCUU
This 275-nucleotide unclassified non-coding RNA is filed under the name Hevea brasiliensis (rubber tree). The record is from RNAcentral. Lineage: Eukaryota; Viridiplantae; Streptophyta; Magnoliopsida; Malpighiales; Euphorbiaceae.